This 253-nucleotide ribosomal RNA is filed under the name uncultured bacterium. RNAcentral's name for it is "partial 16S ribosomal RNA". It matches the Rfam family "Bacterial small subunit ribosomal RNA", at positions 524 to 776 of the family's 1533-position model. The record is from RNAcentral.
UACGUAGGGUGCGAGCGUUGUCCGGAAUUAUUGGGCGUAAAGAGCUCGUAGGCGGUCUGUCGAGUCGACUGUGAAAACCCGAGGCUUAACCUCGGGCCUGCAGUUGAUACGGGCAGACUAGAGUUCGGUAGGGGAGACUGGAAUUCCUGGUGUAGCGGUGAAAUGCGCAGAUAUCAGGAGGAACACCGAUGGCGAAGGCAGGUCUCUGGGCCGAUACUGACGCUGAGGAGCGAAAGCGUGGGGAGCGAACAGG